Molecule: small nuclear RNA, 24 nt
Filed under: Arabidopsis thaliana (thale cress)
Lineage: Eukaryota; Viridiplantae; Streptophyta; Magnoliopsida; Brassicales; Brassicaceae
Description: snRNA_16573
Source: RNAcentral
UUUCCAAAAUUCUGAUUAUCAGUA